RNAcentral lists this ribosomal RNA (488 nucleotides) under uncultured bacterium. RNAcentral describes it as "bacterial SSU rRNA". It matches the Rfam family "Bacterial small subunit ribosomal RNA", at positions 33 to 507 of the family's 1533-position model. The record is from RNAcentral.
ACGCUGGCGGUGUGCUUAACACAUGCAAGUGGUGCGACGAACCAGAGCUUGCUCUGGGGCAAAGCCGCGAACGGGUGAGUAACACGUGGGUAAUCUACCCCGAUGACCGGGACAACCCGAGGAAACUCGGGCUAAUACCGGAUGUGGUACGGAGACAUAAGUCUCUUUACUAAAGGUAGCUUCGGCUUCCGCAUUGGGAGGGGCCCGCGGCCCAUUAGCUAGUUGGUGGGGUCAAGGCCUACCAAGGCAACGAUGGGUAGCUGGUCUGAGAGGACGAUCAGCCACACUGGGACUGAGACACGGCCCAGACUCCUACGGGAGGCAGCAGUGGGGACUCUUGCGCAAUGUGCGAAAGCGUGACGCAGCAACACCGCGUGAGGGAAGACGGCCUUAGGGUUGUAAACCUCUUUCAGAUGGGACGAAGGUGAUGCGGUGAAUAGCCGAUGUCAUUGACGGUACCGUCAGAAGAAGCUCCGGCUAACUACGUG